UUCACAUGCAAUGGGUGUGGCCUUCUCCGUCUGCCAAACAUGCUACAAGUACGAGCACCACGAGGGAACUGCCUGGAGUGCAAGACCCACCACAAGCUCCUCAAGGGUCAGUCAGCCUCCACCCACGGCCGAAGGCACUUGCAUAUGUGAAGAAUAUCCAUGUCCGAUUACAUCGUCAGAAAGCAAAAACCAUGAGAGCCCACACUAAUCAUCAAGGACUAUUUACAUGCCUAUAAUUAGGCCCACCAGUUUGGAUGGCAAACAAUUGCAGCUGCGAAGAAUAGGAUAUCUUCUCGAUCUCAGGGAUCAGCCCAUCUGAUCUUUUGUUUGAUUGGGGUUGCGGUUUUGUUGGGCAUAUAAAUUUGUGCUGGGUAUAUGAUCAUAUUUUUGCUGGCA
Non-coding RNA from Triticum urartu, 396 nucleotides. NCBI's taxonomy places the organism in Eukaryota, Viridiplantae, Streptophyta, Magnoliopsida, Poales, Poaceae. The record is from RefSeq and is a predicted model, not a curated record.